ACCAACUGUGGGCCGACUGGGAGGGCGAAACUGCCGCCCCAGCAGCCAGAAAACCCCAGGAUCACUCCUACGGAGCCAGGAUUUGCUCCAGGUAGCCCUUUUCCCAACCUCGUACCUUUCGCCUGGAGCUGGCGGUGAUAGUCAGCCAAGUUCAUGAUCAUCUUGAUUGUGUCCUCCUGCCAAACCUCAAGGCGAACUACCUUCGGAUUCUUCAGAAAAUCAGGGUGGAACCCGAACUGCUUGGGGAGCUGACCGAGCACCUCGAAUGACAUUGCUUUUGGCUGCAUCAGUUGCACGAGCGUCGGAAACCGUCUGGGAGUGUCCAUGCUGCUGCCGGCCCUGCAGGAGACCAGAGCACAACCGCAAACCCAAAGGAAGAGCUGGAGGCGUCGCCUCCGUCUCCUAGAGCCCCGCCUUCUUCCGAGGCCGCACAAGUGCGCUGGUUUCUGGGCUGCUCUCAGGGGGUUCCUUCUGUCAGGAGCAGCCCGUCUCCAGCGCACCCGGUAGGAGAAACCGGGCUCUGGGCUCCAGGACUCCAGUGGAAAGCUGCGGGAGUCUUAAUGAUGGACUCAGGAAGGCGUGGUUAAGCCCAGUAUUUUUCUCAAGAGGAAGGAACUGAUACUUGUAGAAUGAAUACUUCUUAGGUCCCCCACAGCUUCUGAUCCCUGGCCACUAUGUUUACUUCCUCUGGCACCAGGUUUUCAGAUUAUUCUGUUUCCUGCCUGAGAUAGCUGAGUACAGGGCAGA
Molecule: long non-coding RNA, 747 nt
Organism: Cebus imitator (Panamanian white-faced capuchin)
Lineage: Eukaryota; Metazoa; Chordata; Mammalia; Primates; Cebidae
Exons: 3
Source: RefSeq, a predicted model, not a curated record